GGAUCUCGAAAGCCUGUCCCAGUUCGGACUGGAGUCUGCAACCCGACUCCACGAAGUUGGAUUCGCUAGUAAUCGCGCAUCAGCCAUGGCGCGGUGAAUACGUUCCCGGGCCUUGUACACACCGCCCGUCAAGCCAUGGGAGCCGGGGGGCGCCUGAAGUCCGGGACCGCGAGGACCGGCCUAGGGCGAAACUGGUAACUGGGGCUAAGUCGUAACAAGGUAGC
Molecule: ribosomal RNA, 224 nt
Filed under: uncultured bacterium
Lineage: Bacteria
Description: partial 16S ribosomal RNA
Rfam family: Bacterial small subunit ribosomal RNA
Source: RNAcentral